RNAcentral lists this non-coding RNA (169 nucleotides) under Ophiocordyceps sinensis CO18. RNAcentral describes it as "Bacterial large subunit ribosomal RNA". It matches the Rfam family "Bacterial large subunit ribosomal RNA", at positions 2476 to 2636 of the family's 2925-position model. Lineage: Eukaryota; Fungi; Ascomycota; Sordariomycetes; Hypocreales; Ophiocordycipitaceae. The record is from Rfam by way of RNAcentral.
AACAGGCUAAUUUGCGCAAGAGUGUACAAAAUGAGUGCGCGGUUUGGCACCUCGAUGUCGGCUUAACUUAUCCUCAUGGAUGCAGGAACUAUGUAGGGUGCGACUGUUCGUCGAUUAAAAAGUUACAUGAGCUGGGUAAAGUAUUUAGCCCAGAAAUUAAUUGGCCUGC